ACUACGGGAGGCAGCAGUGGGGAAUAUUGGGCAAUGGGCGCAAGCCUGACCCAGCAACGCCGCGUGAAGGAAGAAGGCUUUCGGGUUGUAAACUUCUUUUCUCAGGGACGAAGAAAGUGACGGUACCUGAGGAAUAAGCCACGGCUAACUACGUGCCAGCAGCCGCGGUAAUACGUAGGUGGCAAGCGUUAUCCGGAUUUAUUGGGUGUAAAGGGCGUGUAGGCGGGAGCGCAAGUCAGAUGUGAAAACUCAGGGCUCAACCCUGAGCCUGCAUUUGAAACUGUGUUUCUUGAGUGCUGGAGAGGCAAUCGGAAUUCCGUGUGUAGCGGUGAAAUGCGUAGAUAUACGGAGGAACACCAGUGGCGAAGGCGGAUUGUUGGACAGUAACUGACGCUGAGGCGCGAAAGCGUGGGGAGCAAACAGGAUUAGAUACCCUUGUAGUC
Molecule: ribosomal RNA, 443 nt
Filed under: uncultured bacterium
Lineage: Bacteria
Description: partial 16S ribosomal RNA
Rfam family: Bacterial small subunit ribosomal RNA
Source: RNAcentral